This 492-nucleotide ribosomal RNA is filed under the name uncultured bacterium. RNAcentral describes it as "partial 16S ribosomal RNA". It matches the Rfam family "Bacterial small subunit ribosomal RNA", at positions 29 to 507 of the family's 1533-position model. The record is from RNAcentral.
AGUGAACGCUGGCAGUAGGCCUAACACAUGCAAGUCGAACGGCAGCACAGUAAGAGCUUGCUCUUACGGGUGGCGAGUGGCGGACGGGUGAGGAAUACAUAGGAAUCUACUUUUUCGUGGGGGAUAACGUAGGGAAACUUACGCUAAUACCGCAUACGACCUACGGGUGAAAGCAGGGGAUCUUCGGACCUUGCGCGAUUGAAUGAGCCGAUGUCGGAUUAGCUAGUUGGCGGGGUAAAGGCCCACCAAGGCGACGAUCCGUAGCUGGUCUGAGAGGAUGAUCAGCCACACUGGAACUGAGACACGGUCCAGACUCCUACGGGAGGCAGCAGUGGGGAAUAUUGGACAAUGGGCGCAAGCCUGAUCCAGCCAUACCGCGUGGGUGAAGAAGGCCUUCGGGUUGUAAAGCCCUUUUGUUGGGAAAGAAAAGCAGCAGGUUAAUACCCCGCUGUUCUGACGGUACUCAAAGAAUAAGCACCGGCUAACUUCGUG